RNAcentral lists this ribosomal RNA (262 nucleotides) under uncultured Sphingomonas sp. RNAcentral describes it as "partial 16S ribosomal RNA". It matches the Rfam family "Bacterial small subunit ribosomal RNA", at positions 524 to 785 of the family's 1533-position model. The record is from RNAcentral. Lineage: Bacteria; Pseudomonadati; Pseudomonadota; Alphaproteobacteria; Sphingomonadales; Sphingomonadaceae.
UACGGAGGGGGCUAGCGUUGUUCGGAAUUACUGGGCGUAAAGCGCACGUAGGCGGCGAUUUAAGUCAGAGGUGAAAGCCCGGGGCUCAACCCCGGAAUAGCCUUUGAGACUGGAUUGCUUGAACAUCGGAGAGGUGAGUGGAAUUCCGAGUGUAGAGGUGAAAUUCGUAGAUAUUCGGAAGAACACCAGUGGCGAAGGCGGCUCACUGGACGAUUGUUGACGCUGAGGUGCGAAAGCGUGGGGAGCAAACAGGAUUAGAAAC